UGAAUCUUUCUAUUUUUUUUCCCACGCUAGAAGUUGCAGUUUACGGAGCGUUCUUGUGCACAGUGCCCACUACUGUCUGCACUGAAAGCUCCCGGAUCUGUGAGGUAUUAGUGUGGGAAGACACCAAGUUUUAGUCUGCCCCCACUGGGAUGACUAAUUGGCUGGCUGGCUGGCCACCAGGCUGAACGGCUAACUGGGAACGGAGACGAGCUCCCCACAUAAAAGUCGCUGAUGCUGGCACACACAUGCGAGGGCCUGUGAGUCAUCUCGCCUCGUUUCCUACCUUUACUUGGGCCAAUGGAGGUUCAGAUGCUGGGUAAGAGGUGGCGCUGCAGCUGUCAGUCACCCUGGAGAUCAGCGGCUGCUGGAGCUUAUAUCCCCAGGUGACGGCCUGUGGUUGGACAGGUUCAUCUCUGCCUCCUUGUAAGCCUGCCCACUGGGCCCUGAACGGCCUUAUGGGUAACGCGUUCUGCUGAUCAUCCUAGCGCUUUGCCGUUCAGUUAAGCUGUCAGCAGCAGACUUGUAGAAUCGCCUUCUGCUGUCUUCAUAUAGGCUUCCUGUGUAAAAAAAAAAAAGAAGUAAAACAAUUCAUUUAAAUUUUAUUAGUUUUUGUGCUGAUGUCUCAAACGUCUUGUUGCUUGCUUGAAAUGCUUUAAGGUAAAUCCCUUCUAAUGUAAAAGGCUCCUUCAGAGCUAAUGCAAGAUAUUUAUCUGUAGUGUAAUUUAUGUAUACAGUCUAUUUACAGUUAUAUAAAUAUUAAUGCAUAAUAAGAAAUUGGCUACUUUGUGCUCUGUGCUGAUUUUAACUUUAUUUCCUUUUUCUCAUACCUCCACUAGCAGAAUCAGCUGAGCUAAAAGCAGCAUAGAGACCCAGUGUGACAAUGUUAGGUUGAGGAUCUGUCACAUCUGUGUAAUAACAAAGUGUCUGUUUUGGCAUUGAUGGGAGACAAUAAAGAGCUAAGAGUGAAA
Molecule: long non-coding RNA, 968 nt
Organism: Betta splendens (Siamese fighting fish)
Lineage: Eukaryota; Metazoa; Chordata; Actinopteri; Anabantiformes; Osphronemidae
Exons: 2
Source: RefSeq, a predicted model, not a curated record